Myotis brandtii (Brandt's bat) is the source of this 772-nucleotide long non-coding RNA. RefSeq lists it as uncharacterized. The transcript is spliced from 2 exons. NCBI's taxonomy places the organism in Eukaryota, Metazoa, Chordata, Mammalia, Chiroptera, Vespertilionidae. The record is from RefSeq and is a predicted model, not a curated record.
GCGUCGGCGUCACCUGGGGCCCGGCCAGUGUCCGAGCACCUGGAGGUAGAGCUGGGCCGGUGCAGACAAUGCCAUCGGGGCUCUGUGCUCGGUGCUCCUCCGAGCCACGUGAUCGUGUAGCGGGUUUGCGGGAGGGACUGAGGGUGUGGGCUGCGGAGGCCAAGUGUGCUGGGUGCCCCGCGGCCCAUGUUUUCCCGGGGAGGCCGGUCAGAAAGGUUUCAAAUUCCAGAAACAAAGGCUCGAAGGCAUAUCGCACCCCUGCGGUGCAGGAGUCAAGCAGAAGGGUGUGAGGCGGAACCCUAACUCCUGGGGAUCCCUGCUUUUACUUGGGAGCAGAGUCCUGAUACAUAAUUUCCCGGGUCACUCCGGUACCUUGAGUAAAUAACCUGGACCGGCAGUUUCUUUCUCCUGCUUUAAGAUUCAGACCCAUAAGGUGCCCCGAGGCCCUUAAUCAAAACCUAAAUGAUCAUUGCGCUAUUACAAUGAAGUCUCUUUCAAUUCCUGCAGCACUUGUCAGCCUGUUUUUCAUUUUGGUGGCUGAAUCAUAUACCUCCCCUAUUUGGUAAGCCCUUGGCCUGUUUUUCUCCACCCACAUCCGUAGCCUUCAGCAGACCUUCCAUAAAUAUCAGGGAAGGUUUUUGAAACAUGAAUCCUUCACUCCUCCUGACUGCCCUUUGCUUGGGAAUAGCCUCAGCUACUCCAAAACUUGAUCCAAGAUUGGACGCACAGUGGUACGAGUGGAAGGCAACACACAGGAGACUAUAUGGCGUGG